Molecule: non-coding RNA, 28 nt
Filed under: Mus musculus (house mouse)
Lineage: Eukaryota; Metazoa; Chordata; Mammalia; Rodentia; Muridae
Source: RNAcentral
AUCUGUAAAAUGGGGAUAGUAUUGGGUA